This 253-nucleotide ribosomal RNA is filed under the name uncultured bacterium. RNAcentral's name for it is "partial 16S ribosomal RNA". It matches the Rfam family "Bacterial small subunit ribosomal RNA", at positions 524 to 776 of the family's 1533-position model. The record is from RNAcentral.
UACAGAGGUCUCAAGCGUUGUUCGGAUUCAUUGGGCGUAAAGGGUGCGUAGGUGGCGCUGUAAGUCAGGCGUGAAAUUUCGGAGCUUAACUCCGAAACUGCAUUUGAUACUGCGGUGCUCGAGGACUGGAGAGGAGACUGGAAUUUACGGUGUAGCGGUGAAAUGCGUAGAGAUCGUAAGGAAGACCAGUGGCGAAGGCGGGUCUCUGGACAGUUCCUGACGCUGAGGCACGAAGGCCAGGGGAGCAAACGGG